Phyllopteryx taeniolatus (common seadragon) is the source of this 833-nucleotide long non-coding RNA. RefSeq lists it as uncharacterized. The transcript is spliced from 3 exons. The record is from RefSeq and is a predicted model, not a curated record. Lineage: Eukaryota; Metazoa; Chordata; Actinopteri; Syngnathiformes; Syngnathidae.
CAGGUAGGCCCGGAGGAAGGCGCUCUGGAAGCGGCGGAAGGCUGGGUUGGCUGCAGCCGUCUGAGUCGGUUGAGGUGGGCUGAGACGACGCGCUGUGAGCUCAAGGCCAACACACAAGGCGAGCAGGACAAUUAUGGCAAGCUGUGCUCGCUGAACAAGUGGCUUGCUCAAGGGUCAAUGCGAAAGGCCAAAAGUUUGUCGGAGUGCAGAUUGUUGAGGGUGCGGAGGUCUGGCAGUCGCAGCAGUAGUUUGGAGAAGAGCGAGGUGUCAUCCGGACGGCGUCGAGUGAUCAGUGACCACAAAGCAUGGAUAAGACCCUCCUGGAGCUGCUCAACAGCGAGCACGUCGGAGACGCCAGAACGAUCUGAGGAGAGCAGAGGAUGCUGGUGUGAGGAUGUGGCCUGUCAAAUACUGUACAGUGGUGCCUUGAGAUAUGAGUUGCCCCAAUCUCCGGGAAGGUAACUUCCUCUGGCGACGAUGGCUGCGAGUGUGAGGAAGGUGACUGUGUCUGGUACCCGCUGGAGGGGCUGCCUGGGCUGGGGCUGGAGCUUCCAGAGGAGCUUGCAUACAGGAUGACUCCUCCACCUCCUGCAAACAAGGCAAAGGGCAGAAUGGUUAGUUCAUUCACUUCAAGUUAACGUUCCAAACACGAUAUCCAUAUUUAUAUUCUUGGUAGACACAGCCAUACUAUAAAUUGACGAGCUCAAGCGCAAAAGCCGACAAGCGCCAUUUACGCAAAGAUCACACAUCGUUCGAUGGUGGAUUUCCUAACUUUGCAAAACCAAACAACUCCCAUGUAAAACUCUUUGAAAAUAAAGGUUUCAUUUCAGAAA